RNAcentral lists this ribosomal RNA (808 nucleotides) under uncultured bacterium. RNAcentral's name for it is "bacterial SSU rRNA". It matches the Rfam family "Bacterial small subunit ribosomal RNA", at positions 55 to 870 of the family's 1533-position model. The record is from RNAcentral.
AUGCAGUCGAGGGGUAUAAGUCUUCGGAUUUAGAGACCGGCGCACGGGUGCGUAACGCGUAUGCAAUCUACCUUUUACAGAGGGAUAGCCCAGAGAAAUUUGGAUUAAUACCUCAUAGUAUUAUGAAAUGGCAUCAUUUUAUAAUUAAAGUCACAACGGUAAAAGAUGAGCAUGCGUCCCAUUAGCUAGUUGGUAAGGUAACGGCUUACCAAGGCUACGAUGGGUAGGGGUCCUGAGAGGGAGAUCCCCCACACUGGUACUGAGACACGGACCAGACUCCUACGGGAGGCAGCAGUGAGGAAUAUUGGACAAUGGGCGCAAGCCUGAUCCAGCCAUGCCGCGUGCAGGAUGACGGUCCUAUGGAUUGUAAACUGCUUUUAUACGAGAAGAAACACUGCUUCGUGAAGCAGCUUGACGGUAUCGUAAGAAUAAGGAUAGGCUAACUCCGUGCCAGCAGCCGCGGUAAUACGGAGGAUCCAAGCGUUAUCCGGAAUCAUUGGGUUUAAAGGGUCCGUAGGCGGUUUGGUAAGUCAGUGGUGAAAGCCCAUCGCUCAACGGUGGAACGGCCAUUGAUACUGCCAGACUUGAAUUAUUAGGAAGUAACUAGAAUAUGUAGUGUAGCGGUGAAAUGCUUAGAGAUUACAUGGAAUACCAAUUGCGAAGGCAGGUUACUACUAAUGGAUUGACGCUGAUGGACGAAAGCGUGGGUAGCGAACAGGAUUAGAUACCCUGGUAGUCCACGCCGUAAACGAUGGAUACUAGCUGUUGGAAGCAAUUUCAGUGGCUAAGCGAAAGUGAUAAGUAUCCC